GACGAACGCUGGCGGCGUGCUUAACACAUGCAAGUCGAACGGUAAGGCCCCAGCUUGCUGGGGUACACGAGUGGCGAACGGGUGAGUAACACGUGGGUGACCUGCCCCGCACUUCGGGAUAAGCCUGGGAAACUGGGUCUAAUACCGGAUCCGACCGCACUGUGAGGGGGUGGUGGAAAGUUUUUCGGUGUGGGAUGGGCCCGCGGCCUAUCAGCUUGUUGGUGGGGUAAUGGCCUACCAAGGCGGCGACGGGUAGCCGGCCUGAGAGGGUGGACGGCCACAUUGGGACUGAGACACGGCCCAGACUCCUACGGGAGGCAGCAGUGGGGAAUAUUGCACAAUGGGCGGAAGCCUGAUGCAGCGACGCCGCGUGGGGGAUGACGGCCUUCGGGUUGUAAACUCCUUUCACCAUCGACGAAGGUUUUCUGACGGUAGAUGGAGAAGAAGCACCGGCUAACUACGUG
This 464-nucleotide ribosomal RNA is filed under the name uncultured bacterium. RNAcentral describes it as "partial 16S ribosomal RNA". It matches the Rfam family "Bacterial small subunit ribosomal RNA", at positions 28 to 507 of the family's 1533-position model. The record is from RNAcentral.